AAAAAGUUUCACGCUCUGUAGAAACACAAACCCUAUUAAAAAAAAUACCACUAAUACUCUCUCUUCCAGGUGAGUUUGACUCCUAACCCUAGCCACCGCAACCGAGGCCUCACCGCAACCAGAUGCAGAUCCGAUGCCACUGAGAUCUUUUCCUCCAACAGAAAGACGAACCCAGGCACCAGUGACUGGCUAGAGGCUUCUGAGUUCUGACUGUUUCCCCGUCGCCUUGUAACGGAAAGAGCCCGCCGUUAGACCUACGAGCCACAAAAUUACAGAGUUCUCGUUUAAUUGUGUUGUUGUGCAGAUUCCUGGAGUUGGUAACCAGUACAGGUACCGGCGAAGCUGUCGAAACCCUAGUGCCUCCAGCAACAUUUCUCGUCCUCUUCAGCAAAUCCGGCACCACCGAGGAGCUUCUCCGUCUCGUCCCCUGCGAACCAAGUAGGAGUAUGCAGCUAAUCAUCGGGAAGAGCUUAAUCUUCAAGGUAUGACUUUGAGAUUAAGUGUUAAGAACCAUUAGUGUUUGGGAAUCAAUCUAUUAUUGUCUGUUUCUUACAUGUCGAGGAUUUUAUGAAAAAGAGAGAUGAGCUUCCUGUUUGUAAAGGAGGAGACUUGAGAAGUUAUCUUCAAAUUCAGUGCUGGAGAAACGUGUAACAGGUUAGGGAAAACUCUGCUUUAGAUCCUAUAAGUACUGGUGUACGUUGAAGCUUUGUUUGAAUCUAUAAACAGGAAGCCGAGGACAAUUGGAUCAGAGAUGAUCAUGGAUCGACUAACUAUGCUGCCGAUAAGGUCUUGGAAAUGAUCCGAGCCUUGGAAGCAUGUGCACAAGUGGACCAGUUGCCUUGCUGUUGAGAAGGAAGAGUGGAAAUUUGAUACACUGUGAUUUAUGACACGCACUCGAGCUGUUAUCUUCUGCAACACUAAACGAAAGGUUUGCUUGGUUUCUGCAACUCUUCCUCACGAGAUUUUGGAGAUGACAUCAAAUUUUAUGACGGAGCCAAUGAAGAUACUUGUGAAGCGUGAUGAGUAGACUCUUGACGGCAAGAGGAUUAAGUUUAGAUUUUUGGUUUAUUUAAGUUUAUCGUUUAGUUUAGGUUCUUUUCUGGUUUUAGUUUGGUAAACUGGAAUUUGGUUGUAAACUGAUUUUAAUUUAUAAAUAAAAUUAUUUUUAUUUUAA
This is a long non-coding RNA of Raphanus sativus (radish), 1174 nucleotides long. RefSeq lists it as uncharacterized. Lineage: Eukaryota; Viridiplantae; Streptophyta; Magnoliopsida; Brassicales; Brassicaceae. The record is from RefSeq and is a predicted model, not a curated record. The transcript has 3 exons.